UACCCGCAGCUCAAGUGGUGGUCAUUAUUAUUGGGCCUAAAGCGUCCGUAGCUGGCGUGUUAGAUGCCUGGGUAAAUCGAUGCGCUCAACGUAUCGAAUUCCGGGUAGACCGGCACGCUCGAGACCGGGAGAGGUGUAGGCUACUCGCGGGGUAGGGGUAAAAUCCUGUAAUCCUGCGGGGAGGACCAGUGGCGAAGGCGCUACACUAGAACGGCUCUGACAGUGAGGGACGAAGCCCUGGGGCGCAAACCGG
This 253-nucleotide ribosomal RNA is filed under the name uncultured bacterium. RNAcentral's name for it is "partial 16S ribosomal RNA". It matches the Rfam family "Archaeal small subunit ribosomal RNA", at positions 474 to 727 of the family's 1478-position model. The record is from RNAcentral.